RNAcentral lists this ribosomal RNA (600 nucleotides) under uncultured marine bacterium. RNAcentral's name for it is "bacterial SSU rRNA". It matches the Rfam family "Bacterial small subunit ribosomal RNA", at positions 8 to 610 of the family's 1533-position model. The record is from RNAcentral.
AGAGUUUGAUCCUGGCUCAGAUUGAACGCUGGCGGCAGGCCUCAUACAUGCAAGUUGAACGAGAAAGUAUCUUCGGAUGCGAGUACAGUGGCGGACGGGUGAGUAAUACAUAGGAAUCUACCCAAUGGAGGGGGAUAGCUCGAGGAAACUCGAAUUAAUACCGCAUAAUCUCUACGGAGUAAAGAGGGCUUCGGCUCUCGCCAUCGGAUGAGCCUAUGCAAGAUUAGCUUGUUGGUAAGGUAAUGGCUUACCAAGGCUACGAUCUUUAGCUGGUUUGAGAGGACGACCAGCCACAUCGGGACUGAGACACGGCCCGGACUUCUACGGAAGGCAGCAGUAGGGAAUAUUGGACAAUGAGCGAAAGCUUGAUCCAGCCAUGCCGCGUGUGCGGUGAAGACCUUAGGGUUGUAAAGUACUUUAGGUUAUGAGAAAAGAUUUGGUAUUAAUACCACCAAAUUUUGAUGUUAAUUUCAGAAUAAGCACCGGCUAAAUCCGUGCCAGCAGCCGCGGUAAUACGGAUGGUGCAAGCGUUAAUCGGAAUUACUGGGCGUAAAGCGCGCGUAGGUGGCCUAUCAAGUUAGAUGUGAAAUCCCGGGGCUU